Molecule: ribosomal RNA, 508 nt
Filed under: Pseudomonas veronii
Lineage: Bacteria; Pseudomonadati; Pseudomonadota; Gammaproteobacteria; Pseudomonadales; Pseudomonadaceae
Description: bacterial SSU rRNA
Rfam family: Bacterial small subunit ribosomal RNA
Source: RNAcentral
AGCUUGCUUCUCUUGGCAGCGGCGGACGGGUGAGUAAUGCCUAGGAAUCUGCCUGGUAGUGGGGGAUAACGUUCGGAAACGGACGCUAAUACCGCAUACGUCCUACGGGAGAAAGCAGGGGACCUUCGGGCCUUGCGCUAUCAGAUGAGCCUAGGUCGGAUUAGCUAGUUGGUGAGGUAAUGGCUCACCAAGGCGACGAUCCGUAACUGGUCUGAGAGGAUGAUCAGUCACACUGGAACUGAGACACGGUCCAGACUCCUACGGGAGGCAGCAGUGGGGAAUAUUGGACAAUGGGCGAAAGCCUGAUCCAGCCAUGCCGCGUGUGUGAAGAAGGUCUUCGGAUUGUAAAGCACUUUAAGUUGGGAGGAAGGGCAGUUACCUAAUACUUAAUUGUUUUGACGUUACCGACAGAAUAAGCACCGGCUAACUCUGUGCCAGCAGCCGCGGUAAUACAGAGGGUGCAAGCGUUAAUCGGAAUUACUGGGCGUAAAGCGCGCGUAGGUGGUUA